This 85-nucleotide transfer RNA is filed under the name Nitrospirota bacterium. Its description in RNAcentral is "Nitrospirae bacterium (hydrothermal vent metagenome) tRNA-Leu". It matches the Rfam family "tRNA". From Rfam's summary of the family: Transfer RNA (tRNA) molecules are approximately 80 nucleotides in length. Their secondary structure includes four short double-helical elements and three loops (D, anti-codon, and T loops). The record is from RNAcentral. Lineage: Bacteria; Pseudomonadati; Nitrospirota.
GCGAGAGUGGCGGAACUGGCAGACGCGCUGGACUUAGGAUCCAGUGGGGUUUCCCGUAGGGGUUCGACUCCCCUCUCUCGCACCA